RNAcentral lists this ribosomal RNA (253 nucleotides) under uncultured bacterium. RNAcentral's name for it is "partial 16S ribosomal RNA". It matches the Rfam family "Bacterial small subunit ribosomal RNA", at positions 524 to 776 of the family's 1533-position model. The record is from RNAcentral.
UACGGAGGGAGCUAGCGUUGUUCGGAAUUACUGGGCGUAAAGCGCGCGUAGGCGGCUUUUUAAGUCAGAGGUGAAAGCCCGGGGCUCAACCCCGGAAUUGCCUUUGAAACUGGGUGUCUUGAGUAUGAGAGAGGUGUGUGGAACUCCGAGUGUAGAGGUGAAAUUCGUAGAUAUUCGGAAGAACACCAGUGGCGAAGGCGGCUCACUGGCCCGUUACCGACGCUCAGGCGCGACAGCGUGGGGAGCAAACAGG